CUGCGAGUUCGCGGGAGAGUAAGUUAUUGCCAGGGUUUUUAUUUUAUACUUUAAACAUUGAUUUUAUUUUUUAUGUUUUUAGAUGUUCAUGUUAUUGAAUGUUUUAUUUAAAUAAUAUAAAAAAAUAUAAAUAUAUUGACAUGGAUUAAACAAAGAUAUAUAUUAUUCUAUGUUGCAUAAGCAAAUUGGCAAAAUAGAGAUGGAAGAUAAAAAUAUGGUCAAAGUAAUAAGAGUCUAUGGUGAAUGCCUAGC
This 252-nucleotide unclassified non-coding RNA is filed under the name Borreliella sp. KAS2. Its description in RNAcentral is "Borrelia sp. KAS2 partial 5S-23S ribosomal RNA intergenic spacer". The record is from RNAcentral. Lineage: Bacteria; Pseudomonadati; Spirochaetota; Spirochaetia; Spirochaetales; Borreliaceae.